AUGGUGGCGCUCUCCGGCGGGCACACUCUGGGCGUGGCGCACUGCCCGUCGUUCACGCCCCGCCUCAAGUUCGAGGCGGCCACGCUGGACGCCGGAUUCGCGUCGUCGCUGGCGGCCACGUGCAGCAAGGGCGGGGACUCGGUGACGGCGACGUUCGACCGGACGAGCACGGCGUUCGACGACGUCUACUUCAAGGAGCUGCAGCAGCGGAGGGGCCUGCUGAGCUCGGACCAGACGCUGUUCGAGUCGCCGGAGAUGCAACGGCUUGUGAACAUGUUCGCCAUGAACCAGGGCUACUUCUUCUACGUGUUCCAGCAGGGGAUGGGCAAGAUGGGUGCGGGCAAGAGCUUGAGCUCCCAGGUGGGUGCGGCGGAGGAGGUCGAGGAAGAGCGCCAUGACCGUGUUCGCGAUCUCCUCGACGUGGUUGGUGUCGACGUGGACGAGGCGGAGGCCGAGCUCCGCGGCCGCUGCGGCGUCCGCGGGAUCCCAAGCAGAGCAGCAGCUUCCACGGCCGGAACCAGCGCUGCGCGGCGCGCGGGAGGAAGGCCAGCGAGGGAAGGCCUGCCAGUCAUGCAGUCGCGCGCGGCCAGGAGAAAGGAAAACAAGCAGCUCAGUACUCUGUCGGCUGUGGCUGGAACACCUGGCAUCACUGCCAUCAAAACGCCAUUGCCAAAUGCCUCUGAAAUUAAUUAUAAGCAAGAGUGGCUUCUGCAGUUUUCAUUCUUCACGGCCCAGAGGUUACAGAGGUCAGAUGAUGUGUGCAAGGAAGGAAAGAUGCAGACAAGCAACGCCGAAGACGUCUUCCAAGCGCUUGAUGAGAUUGAGUUCCCAGAGUUGGUAGAGCCCCUGAGGACUGCAUUGGAUGGUCUGUGUUGUUGUCUACUUGUCUCCUCAAUUCUUUUACAGUCCGAUGUUCUUUAA
RNAcentral lists this ribosomal RNA (921 nucleotides) under Triticum aestivum (bread wheat). Its description in RNAcentral is "partial small subunit ribosomal RNA". Lineage: Eukaryota; Viridiplantae; Streptophyta; Magnoliopsida; Poales; Poaceae. The record is from RNAcentral.